UACAGAGGUCCCAAACGUUGUUCGGAUUCAUUGGGCGUAAAGGGUGCGUAGGCGGCGCGGUAAGUCGGGUGUGAAAUCUCGGAGCUUAACUCCGAAACUGCAUUCGAUACUGCCGUGCUUGAGGACUGGAGAGGAGACUGGAAUUUACGGUGUAGCGGUGAAAUGCGUAGAUAUCGUAAGGAAGACCAGUGGCGAAGGCGGGUCUCUGGACAGUUCCUGACGCUGAGGCACGAAGGCCAGGGGAGCAAACGGG
RNAcentral lists this ribosomal RNA (253 nucleotides) under uncultured bacterium. RNAcentral's name for it is "partial 16S ribosomal RNA". It matches the Rfam family "Bacterial small subunit ribosomal RNA", at positions 524 to 776 of the family's 1533-position model. The record is from RNAcentral.